This 500-nucleotide ribosomal RNA is filed under the name uncultured bacterium. RNAcentral describes it as "partial 16S ribosomal RNA". It matches the Rfam family "Bacterial small subunit ribosomal RNA", at positions 30 to 523 of the family's 1533-position model. The record is from RNAcentral.
AUUGAACGCUGGCGGAAUGCUUUACACAUGCAAGUCGAACGGCAGCACGGACUUCGGUCUGGUGGCGAGUGGCGAACGGGUGAGUAAUACAUCGGAACGUGCCCAGUCGUGGGGGAUAACGUAGCGAAAGCUACGCUAAUACCGCAUACGAUCUAAGGAUGAAAGCGGGGGAUCGCAAGACCUCGCGCGAUUGGAGCGGCCGAUGGGAGAGUAGGUAGUUGGUAGGGUAAAGGCCUACCAAGCCGACGAUCUGUAGCUGGUCUGAGAGGAUGAUCAGCCACACUGGGACUGAGACACGGCCCAGACUCCUACGGGAGGCAGCAGUGGGGAAUUUUGGACAAUGGGCGCAAGCCUGAUCCAGCCAUUCCGCGUGCAGAAUGAAGGCCUUCGGGUUGUAAACUGCUUUUGUACAGAACGAAAAGGCUCUGGUUAAUACCCGGGGCUCAUGACGGUACUGUAAGAAUAAGCACCGGCUAACUACGUGCCAGCCGCCGCAGUAA